AGUCCCUAACGAUUGCAAACACCUGAAUGAAGCUGAAGGCGGGUCCGAAAGGCUUCAUUUGGUGACCCCGACGUGAUCGUUAGGGAAC
Molecule: regulatory RNA element, 88 nt
Organism: Callipepla squamata (scaled quail)
Lineage: Eukaryota; Metazoa; Chordata; Aves; Galliformes; Odontophoridae
Rfam family: Rous sarcoma virus (RSV) primer binding site (PBS)
About the family: This region is known to be required for the efficient initiation of reverse transcription.
Source: Rfam